This 433-nucleotide ribosomal RNA is filed under the name uncultured bacterium. RNAcentral describes it as "partial 16S ribosomal RNA". It matches the Rfam family "Bacterial small subunit ribosomal RNA", at positions 29 to 507 of the family's 1533-position model. The record is from RNAcentral.
AACGAACGCUGGCGGCAUGCCUAACACAUGCAAGUCGAACGAGACCUUCGGGUCUAGUGGCGCACGGGUGCGUAACGCGUGGGAACCUGCCCUUAGGUUCGGAAUAACUCCCCGAAAGGGGUGCUAAUACCGGAUAAUGUCUUCGGACCAAAGAUUUAUCGCCUUUGGAUGGGCCCGCGUUUGAUUAGCUAGUUGGUAGGGUAAAAGCCUACCAAGGCGACGAUCCCUAGCUGGUCUGAGAGGAUGAUCAGCCACACUGGGACUGAGACACGGCCCAGACUCCUACGGGAGGCAGCAGUGGGGAAUAUUGGACAAUGGGCGAAAGCCUGAUCCAGCAAUGCCGCGUGAGUGAUGAAGGCCUUAGGGUUGUAAAGCUCUUUUACCCGGGAUGAUAAUGACAGUACCGGGAGAAUAAGCGCCGGCUAACUCCGUG